Manihot esculenta (cassava) is the source of this 541-nucleotide long non-coding RNA. RefSeq lists it as uncharacterized. The transcript is spliced from 3 exons. The record is from RefSeq and is a predicted model, not a curated record. NCBI's taxonomy places the organism in Eukaryota, Viridiplantae, Streptophyta, Magnoliopsida, Malpighiales, Euphorbiaceae.
AAAUAAACAAACCUGCAAUCAAAAUAACCCAUAAAACCCAACCCUAAAUCUCUCUCAACUCUCAAAGUCUACUGCCGCCCUCCCCUCCCCCAUUCGGCCUCUACGUCACUCGUCUGGUGCGCCUCCCGCCGAUCGUGCUCCACGCUGUCAACGUCGUUUCUGCGUUCGGUUCCUGCUCUUCUCCGCCGCUUCCUCUGCUCCAGUCUUGCUGUCCGGUGCUGCUCCUCGCCGCGUCCUCGGUCACUGCAGGUUUGUGAGAUCUAUUUAUUUCUCUCUGAUUUCUUCUCUCUUUCAUUGUCUCAGUCUCUCUCUCCAGAAUUUGCAUUCCUUCUCUGGGCUUGCUUCACCUUGACCUGAAUUGGAUUUGAAUGAUAAGCUCUGUACAUUACAUUAAAUGUUUGAUUCCUGGGAGAUUGUUCUUAAAUGGGUCCAGCAAUAUUGCUUCACUGUUUACACAACAAGGCAAGAAAGGGACCAAUCAGGAUGCCAUGAUUGUUUGGGAGGUACUAAACCUGGAGAAUAUGGACAAAACCAGGCAUUG